This 766-nucleotide long non-coding RNA is filed under the name Equus asinus (donkey). RNAcentral describes it as "lncRNA (ENSEASG00005033180.1)". The record is from RNAcentral. Lineage: Eukaryota; Metazoa; Chordata; Mammalia; Perissodactyla; Equidae.
GGAGGGAGUCGGGGGAGAGCUACAGCAGCACCUGCAUGGCUGAGCUCUGGGGAGGUGACAUCCUAGGAGCCACAUGUGCUAGUCUCUCUUCCCCAGGCUCUUAUGUCAGGGAAUCCUCUCAACGUUCCUUAUAGAUGUUCAUUAAUGAUCCAACGUGGGAAGACAGAUCACAUGGUGUUCUCCUGCUGAUUGUUCAUUGGGAAGCCUCACGAACUAACUUGACCUGAAGGGUUCUGUGGAGAAACUUACGAGGGGUCUGUGAGAAGCAUUGUGAGUUUGGAGAAGAAUCUUGCUCCAGAAGAAUGUUUUCACCCUUGGAUGUUUUUCUAGCAAAAUCUGAGAGCAGAAUGAAGAACUUGGACUGAUUAUUGAUGUAACACACACUCGCCACUAAUACAAACCAGAGGCCUACCUCGGAGAUCUUGCGGGUUCUGUUCCAGGUCACUGAAUAAAGUGAAUAUCGCAAUAUAAACAUUCCCUUUUAUGCCCCCCCUCCCCUGGCUCACCCCCUCCAGGUGCCCUACAAGCCUCCCAAGAUGCGACUCUGGACCCUUGGGCACAUACGUCCUGCCCUCGUGGAGCAGCGACCCAGUGCUCACGUGCUCCCACCGCUCUCCUGCCCUGUGAUCGACGCUUCCAGUGGAUUUUUCUUGUGUGCUUUUGGAUGGAUGGCGAUGUUUAGAGAGGGCAGAAACAGACCAGGUGGAUUGCGGGAGGCCCUGGCAGGCGCCUCAAGUUAAUGUUUAUGAAGAGAUGUUUUUCCAAA